GGCAUGGCGGGGACACUGUGAACGUCAGCCCAGAAGGUGAUCAGAGCCUGUUAAUUAAAAUGGAAAGAAGACAAAAGGGAAGGUAGACAUCAGGUUCUCCCUGGAGACUUUUCGUUUUCAUUUACGCUGCGGAAACUGACGUUUUUGCCUAACACCCCAUGUAAUGUAAACGUAUAGGCUUGAGUACGUGUCCGGCCGCAUGUGUAGUGAACCCUAAAGCUUUCCUAAUUGUAGUUAGCAUCGUCCCUAAGCGGAACGAUUUUCCGUGAACAUGAUUUGUACUUUUCUACGAGCCGUACAGUAUACGGAGAAGCUGCACAGGUCAUCGGCAAAGCGAUUGCUUUUGCCAUACAUUGUGCUUAACAAAGCGUGCUUGAAGACUGAGCCCAGUUUGAGAUGUGGGCUUCAAUAUCAAAAGAAAACGGUGCGACCUAGAUGUAUUCUUGGAGUCACCCAGAAAACCAUCUGGACGCAGGGACCGAGCCCCCGAAAAGCAAAGGAGGAUAGCAGCAAACAAGUGUCUGUGCACAGGAGUCAGAGAGGGGGAACCGCCGUCCCAACAUCACAAAAAGUGAAAGAAGCCGGAAGAGAUUUUACCUAUUUAAUAGUGGUGCUUUUUGGAAUCAGCAUUACAGGUUGCAAAAAACAGCAAGUAUAAGCCCUUGAAUAUUUUUUAAGCUGGAUUUUUUAUGUUGCCCUUGCUUCACUUCAUCUUUGUUUUCUGUGAUUUCAGGUGGCUUGUUUUACACGAUUUUCAAAGAACUUUUUUCUUCAUCCAGUCCUAGCAAGAUAUAUGGGAGAGCCUUAGAAAAAUGCAGAUCACAUCCUGAGGUGAUCGGUGUCUUUGGUGAGUCUGUU
This 858-nucleotide small RNA is filed under the name Pan troglodytes (chimpanzee). RNAcentral's name for it is "retained intron". Lineage: Eukaryota; Metazoa; Chordata; Mammalia; Primates; Hominidae. The record is from RNAcentral.